RNAcentral lists this transfer RNA (87 nucleotides) under Pleurastrosarcina brevispinosa. RNAcentral's name for it is "Chlorosarcina brevispinosa tRNA-Ser". It matches the Rfam family "tRNA". Rfam says of the family: Transfer RNA (tRNA) molecules are approximately 80 nucleotides in length. Their secondary structure includes four short double-helical elements and three loops (D, anti-codon, and T loops). The record is from RNAcentral. Lineage: Eukaryota; Viridiplantae; Chlorophyta; Trebouxiophyceae. RNAcentral also lists the same sequence under 1 other name.
GGAAAGGUGGCAGAGUGGUUCAAUGCAUCGGUUUUGAAAACCGACGUAGCUUCACGGUUACCGAGGGUUCGAAUCCCUCCCUUUCCG